UCAAUUUACUUUCAUGAUACCUCUUUAACUAACUAAAAUACACUUCUAACUCCAAGCAUCACAUGCUAAUGAAUAACAAAGAGGAGGAAAAGAAGAAGGUGAUGAGUUCCAAGAAACGAGAAAAAAUGUGAGUGCCCAUACGAAGCAUAGUAUUAAGACUUCUUUCCGACUUUAUCUAGCUGCAAACUCUGCCCUCAAUUAUACACUUUUCAUAUUUAUUUUUUUAAAGUUGUAACAUCGUGAUCAUUUGAAAACAGUUAUUUGUUUUUGUUAGUGGACGAAUAUGACUGGAUCUUAUAUGAUUGGAAUUCUAAAAUUGAAUUACACCGAUAUUUCAUGAAACCAUAAACAGUUGUAUAGUUGUGUCCACACUGUAGGGUUUACCGUACCCAUUUUAUGAUUUUAUAAGAGACAAUAAGCUAAAUAUACAUAGUGGAGAUCUAUAUUGGCUAAUUAUACAUUGAUUGAUCUUAAUGGUUUGUGUCGUGUCCACUGUGGUUUGUGCCGACGAUUAUACCCUUGCGUCAUGAUGAAAAAAAGUAUUAUGUCCUGCAGAGAGUAGAAAAACUCUUUUAACAUUAUUUUUCUUCCUGUAAUUCUGACACACUUUCUCCCUUUACAAUUCAUUUAUUCUCUCUUUUCAAGUUCUCUUUCUUCUUGCCUCCAUUCAUUUUCUUUUGUCUGAUACAUUUUUUUUUCUUCAUCUCUUUCAUUUUUUUUCUCACUAUUUUCGUUUCUUUUCUCUUAUCCCCCAUCCUUUUUCUUCUUUCGAUUCUCUUUGUUUUUUUUUUCGUUUCUUAUUCUCUUUCUCUUUAAAUAUCUUCAUUGGUUCUUCAUUUAGAUGCUAAUUUUCUGAAGCUACGGCAAAAUUCAAAAAUGAUCUAACACCAAAUUUAGAUAAAACAUUUCAUGAUAGUGAUUCCAUUUUGAACGUUAGUAUUCUCUUAUGUAUGUAUUUCUAGUAAAUCAUAAUUAGAACACAUGUAUUACCAUAUAUUUAUAGAAAUAUGAUAAAGGUAAAAAACGUUAACACUAUAUACUAUAGAGAUGUUAAGAUACUUAUUUGAUUAGCAAAUUAAGUGUUAUAUGCGGCGCUUUAAACAAAAUAAUAACAUAAUAAUAAUAUUUAUAAUUUAGUAUUAAUUAUUAAUCUAAUACAUUAUUCAUCAUGUAAUAAUUAAGUUAGUUACUAAAAUUUAAAUUAACGAGUAAAACAACAAAGUUAGCAUGCAAUAAUCGAUAUUGUAGGUUGUUAAUAGUUGAUGUAUCAUUUAAAAAAAAAAAGUAGCUAUUAACAUAGGUAUUAGUUAUUACUUAUGAUGUAGCACACAUAAUAAACAUACAUGCAAUUUUGUUUUUGACUGCUAUUGUCAAUGUUUACCAAGCGACAAGGGAGUUAGCUGAUACAUCAAAAAUCUUUCUUUGAUUUGUUAGAUAAUAACUAGGAAGGAGAAGAAGAAAAAUGGGACAGCUUGUGCCUCUGAUGGUUGGUGAAUGAGAGAUGGUUCAUCAACGGUCAUUGAGAUUCUAAGUCGACCAUACAAAGGUUAAGUACGAUUUGGUGCUAAGGGAGAGGCAUGAGGGAUCAUGGUUGAGUGCAUGAUAGCGAUGAGGUUCUUAUGGACGUAUGCACCGCGGAAAAGACUGAGUAAAUACAGAGAACACAUGUUUCUUUAACAAGAGUUGAGAUAAACCCACCUAUGAGUGUAGACGGAGGCACAUAGUCAUCUACCAACUCAAGGAUACUUUCUAUGGGUGAAUUCAUGGUAAUGUAAUCUUGUUGUUAACGGUAAUAAACACAUGUGACGACUAAGUAUGAAUGUAACUAUUAACUGUUUUUUAUAUCUGAAGUUAGCUGUUUUAUAUCUAAAGUUAUAUACAAACCAUGUAUCAUUCAAAGACAAAUCUUUGUAAUAUAUUACCAACCAUUUAUCACUAGUUUGGUAUCAAA
Long non-coding RNA from Brassica napus (rape), 1951 nucleotides. RefSeq lists it as uncharacterized. The transcript is spliced from 2 exons. Lineage: Eukaryota; Viridiplantae; Streptophyta; Magnoliopsida; Brassicales; Brassicaceae. The record is from RefSeq and is a predicted model, not a curated record.